GCCCUGACGAAUUGAGGCUGUUCUGAGGGCAAAAGGGGGUGCAACUCAAUAUUAGAAAGGCUGUCGUGUAUGUGAAGACCAGAAGAGGCUGGUGGGAAGAGCAAUGGGAGGAUGGGCUCAUUGUGAUGGCUGGAAUGGGACCAAUGGAAUGAUACCAAACACAUGGAAACAAUGUGUUUGACUCCGUUCCAGCGAUUCUUUUCACACACAAGAUCAGACACUCAUCUCAGGAGUGAAAAAUGAAUUAGAUUGACCCAACUAGCUCCUAAAAUGGGCCUUUUAAGUCUCCCUCCAUGGAUAGAAUUGCGAUUAAACUGCAUAGACAUGGCACGUCAAAUUUACACGUUUUCUUUCAAUGCCCAUAAGCUAAAGAGCUGGUCACCCCAGAGAGACUAUGCCAACAAAGCCUACAAUGUAGUGCUACUUGUGUAACGUGUGUCAUGGAAUGGAAAGAGAGUAUUUCUCAGUGAGUGGCACAGAGAACUUUCACCAAAAACCUGGUCACCCACCAUGUCUGCCAAAUAGUGCUUUAAAAUCAUUGACUUUUGUUGGAGGGGUAUUACAUAUUAUUAUUAUUGAUUGUAUGUUAUUAUUACACAGUGAUUGUAUAGGUCAU
Non-coding RNA from Oncorhynchus mykiss (rainbow trout), 616 nucleotides. The record is from RefSeq and is a predicted model, not a curated record. Lineage: Eukaryota; Metazoa; Chordata; Actinopteri; Salmoniformes; Salmonidae.